RNAcentral lists this ribosomal RNA (1587 nucleotides) under human gut metagenome. RNAcentral describes it as "bacterial LSU rRNA". It matches the Rfam family "Bacterial large subunit ribosomal RNA", at positions 1350 to 2925 of the family's 2925-position model. The record is from RNAcentral.
GGUUCCUGGGCGAGGCUAAUCCCCCCAGGGUCAGUCGGGAGCUAAGGCGAGGCCGAGAGGCGUAGCCGAUGCGCAGCGGGCAGACAUUCCCGCACCGCCGACGGCGCGGCAUUACCGAUGGGGCGACGGAGAAGGGUAGCCGGGCGGGGUUCUGGACGUCCCCGUGAAAGCGCGUAGGGGGCAGGGCAUGGAAAUCAGCCCUGCGGACACCCCGAGACGCGAGACGAAGCCUCCAUGGCGAAGCCGGUCAUCCCAUGCUCCCGAGAAAAACCCCUAGGCAGGCGCGUGCGCGCCCGUACCGCAAACCGACACAGGUGGGUGGGUAGAACAUACCGAGGCGAUCGGGUCAACCAUGGUCAAGGAACUCGGCACAAUGGCCCCGUAACUUCGGGAGAAGGGGUGCCCGCGCGUACGUGAACCGGCUUGCCCGGGGAGCGGAGGCGGGCCGCAGUGGAGAGGCCCAAGCGACUGUUUACCAAAAACACAGGACUCUGCAGAAGCCGCAAGGCGACGUAUAGGGUCUGACGCCUGCCCGGUGCCGGAAGGUCACGCGGAGGAGUUAGCCGUUAAGGCGAAGCCCCGAAGCCAAGCCCCGGUAAACGGCGGCCGUAACUAUAACGGUCCUAAGGUAGCGAAAUUCCUUGUCGGGUAAGUUCCGACCUGCACGAAAGGCGCAACGACUUGGGCGCUGUCUCGACCAUGGACCCGGUGAAAUUGCACUGGUCGUGAAGAUGCGACUUACCCGCGGAAGGACGGAAAGACCCCGUGAACCUUCACUGCAGCUUGGCAUUGGCCGCUGGUCCCGCGUGUAGAGGAUAGGCAGGAGGCAUCGAUCCGGAGGCGCCAGCCCCCGGGGAGCCGCCCUUGGAAUACUGCCCUCGCGCGACCGGCGUCCUAACCCGAGGCCGUCAACCGGCUCGGGGACCGUGCCAGGCGGGCAGUUUGACUGGGGCGGUCGCCUCCUAAAGGGUAACGGAGGCGCGCGAAGGUCCGCUCGGGACGGUCGGCAACCGUCCUUUUGAAUGCAAGAGUACAAGCGGGCUUGACUGCGAGGCCCACAAGCCGAGCAGGUGCGAAAGCAGGCUCUAGUGAUCCGGCGGCCCCGAGUGGGUGGGCCGUCGCUCAACGGAUAAAAGGUACUCCGGGGAUAACAGGCUGAUCUUGCCCAAGAGUCCACAUCGACGGCAAGGUUUGGCACCUCGAUGUCGGCUCAUCGCAUCCUGGGGCUGUAGCAGGUCCCAAGGGUUGGGCUGUUCGCCCAUUAAAGCGGUACGCGAGCUGGGUUCAGAACGUCGUGAGACAGUUCGGUCCCUAUCCUCCGCGGGCGCAAGGGAGUUGAGGAGAUCUGCCCCUAGUACGAGAGGACCGGGGUGGACGGACCUCUGGUGACGCGGUUGUCGACCAACGGCACCGCCGCCUAGCUACGUCCGGCACGGAUAACCGCUGAAGGCAUCUAAGUGGGAAGCCGCCUCCGAGAUGAGCUCCCUUUCCGGUAAGGGCCCAGAUAGACUAUCUGGUCGAUAGGGCGCAGCUGCAAGCAGGGCGACCUGCUCAGGCGAGCGCUACUAAUAGCCCGAGCUCUUCUUC